UAGGAGGGUAGUUGAUUUGGGAGAAACUUGUAAGGAGUUGAGCUCUACAGCGGGGUAAAAUCCAAACUCAAAACUACAAACAAAUAAAAAUUUUAAACCCCUCAGUAAGACAAGGAUUAGAUACCCUUUUAUUUAGGGCGACUUAAGGUAGUAGUUGCUAUGGUCUUGAAACCUAAAGGGCUUGGCGGUGCUUAACCCAAUCAGAGGAACCUGCUUGAUAAACGAUGCCCCUCGCUAUAUCUUACCUUUUUGAGGCUUGUAUACCGUUGUCUAAAUACCUUAGGUAAAAGGUCAUUUAUCCCUAAUAUUUUAGAAUCCUAAGUCAGAUCCAGGUGCAGCUUUAACAGGGCAAGGUGGGUUACAAUAUAGUUAAUUUUAGAGGUCUUUUGAAAAAGGAUUUAAAUCGGAUUUGAAAGUAAUUGGAUUUUAAUAAGAUACAAUGAUUAAAGCCUUAAGCACGUACAUAUUGCCCGUCGCUCUCCCUACGAGAA
This 491-nucleotide ribosomal RNA is filed under the name Reductoniscus costulatus. RNAcentral describes it as "partial 12S ribosomal RNA". It matches the Rfam family "Microsporidia small subunit ribosomal RNA", at positions 449 to 1217 of the family's 1311-position model. The record is from RNAcentral. Lineage: Eukaryota; Metazoa; Arthropoda; Malacostraca; Isopoda; Armadillidae.